Molecule: ribosomal RNA, 253 nt
Filed under: uncultured bacterium
Lineage: Bacteria
Description: partial 16S ribosomal RNA
Rfam family: Bacterial small subunit ribosomal RNA
Source: RNAcentral
UACGUAGGUGUCAAGCGUUGUCCGGAUUUAUUGGGUUUAAAGGGUGCGUAGGCGGCUUUGUAAGUCAGUGGUGAAAUAUGGCAGCUCAACUGUCAGGGUGCCAUUGAUACUGCGGAGAUUGAGUACAGAUGAGGUAGGCGGAAUUGACGGUGUAGAGGUGAAAUGCUUAGAUAUCGUCAAGAAAAAAGAUAGAGAAGGAAGCUUACUGGGCUGUAACUGACGAUGAGGAACGAAAGUGUGGGGAUCAAACAGG